UACGGGGGGGGCAAGCGUUGUUCGGAAUUACUGGGCGUAAAGCGCGCGUAGGUGGUUCGUUAAGUUGGAUGUGAAAUCCCCGGGCUCAACCUGGGAACUGCAUUCAAAACUGUCGAGCUAGAGUAUGGUAGAGGGUGGUGGAAUUUCCUGUGUAGCAGUGAAAUGCGUAGAUAUAGGAAGGAACACCAGUGGCGAAGGCGACCACCUGGACUGAUACUGACACUGAGGUGCGAAAGCGUGGGGAGCAAACAGG
This 253-nucleotide ribosomal RNA is filed under the name uncultured bacterium. RNAcentral's name for it is "partial 16S ribosomal RNA". It matches the Rfam family "Bacterial small subunit ribosomal RNA", at positions 524 to 776 of the family's 1533-position model. The record is from RNAcentral.